RNAcentral lists this ribosomal RNA (305 nucleotides) under uncultured bacterium. RNAcentral's name for it is "bacterial SSU rRNA". It matches the Rfam family "Bacterial small subunit ribosomal RNA", at positions 338 to 660 of the family's 1533-position model. The record is from RNAcentral.
CCUACGGGGGGCAGCAGUGGGGAAUAUUGGGCAAUGGGCGCAAGCCUGACCCAGCAACGCCGCGUGAAGGAAGAAGGCUUUCGGGUUGUAAACUUCUAUCAGCAGGGAAGAAAAUGACGGUACCUGACUAAGAAGCCCCGGCUAACUACGUGCCAGCAGCCGCGGUAAUACGUAGGGGGCAAGCGUUAUCCGGAUUUACUGGGUGUAAAGGGAGCGUAGGCGGCGAUGCAAGUCAGAAGUGAAAGCCCGGGGCUCAACUCCGGGACUGCUUUUGAAACUGUGUUGCUAGAUUGCAGGAGAGGUAA